This 207-nucleotide ribosomal RNA is filed under the name uncultured bacterium. Its description in RNAcentral is "partial 16S ribosomal RNA". It matches the Rfam family "Bacterial small subunit ribosomal RNA", at positions 524 to 726 of the family's 1533-position model. The record is from RNAcentral.
UACGUAGGGUGCAAGCGUUGUCCGGAAUUAUUGGGCGUAAGGAGCUCGUAGGCGGUCUGUCGCGUCGGCUGUGAAAACCCGAGGCUCAACCUCGGGCCUGCAGUCGAUACGGGCAAACUAGAGUACUGGCAGGGGAGACUGGAAUUCCUGGUGUAGCGGUGAAAUGCGACAGAUAUCAGGGAGGGAACACCGGUGGCGAAGGCGGGU